This 173-nucleotide ribosomal RNA is filed under the name uncultured bacterium. Its description in RNAcentral is "partial 16S ribosomal RNA". It matches the Rfam family "Bacterial small subunit ribosomal RNA", at positions 337 to 525 of the family's 1533-position model. The record is from RNAcentral.
UCCUACGGGAGGCAGCAGUGGGGAAUAUUGCACAAUGGGGGAAACCCUGAUGCAGCAACGCCGCGUGAGCGACGAAGGCCUUCGGGUUGUAAAGCUCUGUCUUCGCUGACGAAUUAAUGACGGUAAGCGAGGAGGAAGCCACGGCUAACUACGUGCCAGCAGCCGCGGUAAUA